GAGAGGGAGGGAGCUGAGGUCCUGGAAGAAAGCAAGGUUCUCACCACAACAGACCCCGACAGGAUGCCUGGGAACCAGAUUGUCUCAGGAACAUCGGGAUUCAGGAUCUGAAGCCCUGUGUACUAGCCCUCUGUCUGGUUCCCUAGAAGCAGGGUUUGAGAGGAGAUUCCAGCGUGUGGUUUGUUGAAUAAGAAAACUGAGACACAGAAAAGUCACACAAGAUUAUCGAGGUCAACACAGAGAACAGUGGAACCUGCACCUGACCCCAGGCAGGCGGAACCUUCAUGACCACACCACACCACCACAGGGAACAGGCAGGGAAAACAAUGGGUCUAGCAGGACAAAAGUGACAUUUCCCAGAGUUUCUUGCUGUUUGGAUCUGGCUGCAGUUUCAGUUUUGCCAAGAAGAGGCAUUUCCAUGAGCUCUGGACAGUGGCAGAGAGGCAGAGGUGCUCCACUGCAGUGUGCUGGAUGGUCCACGGGCUCCUGCCAAUGUGAGGAUUUGCAGCAACUGGUAUAUCCAUGGUCUUGUCACCAGCUUCCUGAAUUCGGGGCAGCUGGAGCCACACUAGUGGUCCUUCCUUGCAGGGGCAGCAGCUGUCUCCUGGUCUCAGAAUCACAGCUGUGGGGAUGCAACCUUAAGCCAAAAGCCUAGCGGUGGGUGGUCCUAAACUUCUUUUGUCUAGGCCCUCUGAUCCCUCUGUAAGUCGCUAUUUCCCUUAUUAAAUCUCUUUCUGCUG
Long non-coding RNA from Homo sapiens (human), 740 nucleotides. Ensembl annotates it as long intergenic non-protein coding RNA 951. The record is from Ensembl. Lineage: Eukaryota; Metazoa; Chordata; Mammalia; Primates; Hominidae.